RNAcentral lists this ribosomal RNA (377 nucleotides) under uncultured bacterium. RNAcentral's name for it is "bacterial SSU rRNA". It matches the Rfam family "Bacterial small subunit ribosomal RNA", at positions 521 to 896 of the family's 1533-position model. The record is from RNAcentral.
UAAUACUAGGGGUGCGAGCGUUGUCCGGAAUCACUGGGCGUAAAGGGUCCGUAGGCGUCUCAAUAAGUCAUUUGUUAAAGACACCGGCUUAACCGGUGGCCUGCAUAUGAAACUGUUGAGAUAGAGUAUAGGAGAGGAAAGUGGAAUUCCUGGUGUAGCGGUGACAUGCGUAGAUAUCAGGAGGAACACCAAUGGCGAAGGCAGCUUUCUGGCCUAUUACUGACGCUGAGGGACGAAAGCGUGGGGAGCAAACAGGAUUAGAUACCCUGGUAGUCCACGCCGUAAACGAUGAGUACUUGGUGUCGGGGGAUUCGACCCCUUCGGUACCGGAGCUAACGCAUUAAGUACUCCGCCUGGGAACUACGACCGCAAGGUUG